GACGAACGCUGGCGGCGUGCUUAACACAUGCAAGUCGAACGGAAAGGCCCUGCUUUUGCUGGUUUCUCGAGUGGCGAACGGGUGAGUAACACGUGAGUAUCCUCCCCUUGACUUUGGGAUAUCUCCAGGAAACUGCGGCUCAUACCGGAUAUGAGCUCCUGCUCCAUGUUGUGGGUUGGUAAGUUUCGGUGGUUGGGGCUGGACUCGCGGCUUAUCCGCUUGUUUGUGGGGUAGUGGCUGACCAAGGCUUUGACGGGUAGCCGGCCUGAGAGGGUGACCGGCGACAAUGGGACUAAGAGACGGCCCAGAAGCCUACGGGAGGCAGCAGGGGGGAAUAUUGCGGAAUGGGCGGAAGCCUGAGGCAGAAACGCUGCGAGCGGGAUGACGGCCUUCGGGUUGUAAACCGAUUUCGAAUGUGACGAAGAGGGAGUGACGGUAAUGGGUAAAGAAGCACCGGCUAACUACGUG
RNAcentral lists this ribosomal RNA (468 nucleotides) under uncultured bacterium. RNAcentral describes it as "partial 16S ribosomal RNA". It matches the Rfam family "Bacterial small subunit ribosomal RNA", at positions 28 to 507 of the family's 1533-position model. The record is from RNAcentral.